CACACUGUUGGGGAAAAACAUCCCAAACAGCAUUCCACAGAACUCAUCCCAUCUCAGCUGCAACGCUACCAGUCCCUGCUCUCUCCUCACUCUUCUCCACCAGGCGUGGGCAUCACCUGCCAAGCAAUGGACUCCCAAAGAUACCUGCUCCCGCUCAGGAAUGAACAGAUCCUUAAAUAGCUUCUCCAUCGCACUGACCCAGCCCUCAAC
RNAcentral lists this long non-coding RNA (210 nucleotides) under Ananas comosus (pineapple). RNAcentral's name for it is "long non-coding RNA (ACOM_LNC044905)". The record is from RNAcentral. Lineage: Eukaryota; Viridiplantae; Streptophyta; Magnoliopsida; Poales; Bromeliaceae.